UUUUAGUAUUCUUAAUUGGUGGAAGGAAAAUUGCACCCGUUAUCCUAUAUUAGCAACCUUGGUUCGGGAUGUGUUGGCAACACCUGUUUCUAGUGUAGCCUCAGAAAGUGCUUUUAGCACGGGGGGGAGGAUUUUAGAUAUCUAUAGGAGCUCUUUGAGUCCAGAUAUGGUCGAAGCGCUUAUAUGUACUCAAAACUGGUUGAAGCCUUUUGACAAUGAUCUAAAUGUCCUUAAUAUGACUGAAGAAUAUGAGAUUAGUGAAUCAAUUGUUUCAGAGUUUCAAGUAGCUACUGGUGGAGCAGCUGCUCCUACACAGGCUGGGCCUGUUUAAUUCUCGCCUAGCUGUGAAUUUUUGAAUAUUUUGGAGUCACUUUGUGAUUCAAUAAGACAAGCCUUUCUUUUU
This is a long non-coding RNA of Lathyrus oleraceus (garden pea), 403 nucleotides long. RefSeq lists it as uncharacterized. The transcript has 3 exons. NCBI's taxonomy places the organism in Eukaryota, Viridiplantae, Streptophyta, Magnoliopsida, Fabales, Fabaceae. The record is from RefSeq and is a predicted model, not a curated record.